GAACUCCAUUGUCACUGCAGGCUGUUUGAUCUUUAAAUAAUUUACUUAAUGAUCUCACCAUGGGAGCAAUUGGCAGAGCAAGAUUAGGUUGUAAGGGCCUAAUGGACAUGGGAAAACUUAAAAUUACUAGAAGAGAGUCUUCUCUGUCCUAUUCCAGACCUGACAUUAAAACCAAAAAGAGGUGUGGGCUCACUGACUUGCAGCGGACCAAACAAAAGAGAGGUUUAAGGCGAGCCUUUACCAGUAUUUAAUAAAAUUGAGAUCCUCCAGCAACAAUACUGAAAGCCUGUUAUUAAAAAAAAUCCUCAAUACUCAAGAUGCCAA
RNAcentral lists this long non-coding RNA (324 nucleotides) under Numida meleagris (helmeted guineafowl). RNAcentral's name for it is "lncRNA (ENSNMEG00000007172.1)". The record is from RNAcentral. Lineage: Eukaryota; Metazoa; Chordata; Aves; Galliformes; Numididae.